UGGGAUCUGUAUGUAGCCAUUCUGCUAACAUGGCUAUUAAAUAGCCUCCCACAGAAAGAAGGAAGAUUCCUGCCACCAAUAGGAGAGCAGCUUUCAGACUGAGGAGUUUGUAGCCAGUGAGAGAAAGACUUACUUCAGAGAGAGGAGAACUUUCUGGAGCUGUGAGGGGAAGCUCUGGAAGGAGAGAAACGCAGGGGUGUAUCCAAGACAGAGCCAUGCACAGAGCUGGGCUGUAUGUGAGGUGGAAUCCUUUUCUCCAGAGUGACCAGUGACUGCCUGCUAUCUGAAGAGUUGUUUUACAGACCACUCCACAUGGUGACUGCUUCUUCGGCCUGACACCUGGAGAAACUGCAAGGAAACUACUUUAUUACUGCAGUGUGAAGGAAGCUGAGGCAGCAGUGAUCGGCUGAUAGUGGAUCCAGUCUAUUGGCCUAUUCCUGCUAGGGUCCUAUCUAGGAAGUCCCAGGAUACCCUGUCAAAGGCUUUUUCUGCAUCUGUGGUACAAACCCUGCCUGAUCUGUAUGUAUUAAAUCUGCGCUAUCAGGUGGCCUCUUAGUACACAUUUCAGUGUUUCCCAGAGCGUCGCCGGAGAUACUUCUUCUGAAGAAUUGUUUUGAAUUAUUUGGGUAAUUAAAGACUGAAUUUCUUUUUUGGUGGAGUCCCUAUGAAGUAAAGAAUCAUUCAAUCGCCAAUUAUAUUCGUGCUUGGAGGUCUGUGGGAUCCUGAAUCUUAUUCUGACCGGUGCGUGAUCUGAUGUGUGAAAAUUGCCAAUAUCUGCCAAAGUAAAUAAGUGUAACCAUCUUUGGGAUGUAAAUAUGUAAUCUAUUCUUGAAUAAACUGCAAAGGUUUUUGAAAAGUG
Molecule: long non-coding RNA, 859 nt
Organism: Xenopus tropicalis (tropical clawed frog)
Lineage: Eukaryota; Metazoa; Chordata; Amphibia; Anura; Pipidae
Exons: 4
Source: RefSeq, a predicted model, not a curated record